RNAcentral lists this ribosomal RNA (747 nucleotides) under Percolomonas cosmopolitus. RNAcentral's name for it is "partial Eukaryotic small subunit ribosomal RNA". It matches the Rfam family "Eukaryotic small subunit ribosomal RNA", at positions 1 to 679 of the family's 1831-position model. Lineage: Eukaryota; Heterolobosea; Eutetramitea; Percolomonadida; Percolomonadidae. The record is from RNAcentral.
AUUUGGUUGAUCUUGCCAAUACUAUAUACUUGUCUCAAAGAUUAAGCCAUGCAAUUGUCAGAAAAUCAUGUUCAGUCGCAAGAUUGAAAAUUGUGAAUCUGAGACUCGCUCCUUAAACAAAUCCUAGUGCAUCCUUUAGUUUGAAUAUGUUGUAUAACAUGUUUAUUAAAUGGAUACCUGACCUAACUGGUCAGUUAAUACAUGAUAAAAAAGUAGUCAUCUAUUUUUAAAUUGAAUUUUGGUGACUAAUAUUGGAAGCUUUUUCGGAAGUGGAAGAUAUGCAGACCUACAGAACAGGGUUUACCUGAUAUGAGUUUUUUGAUUCUUUGGAAUCAAGAAAUUUAACUGAAGGCCUUAAGGAACAAGGAUUUAAGGAUUAGUUAGUUGGUACGGUAGUGUCCUAUCAAGACUAUAAUCCUUACGAGAAAUUAUCGUUUGAUUUCGGAGAGAGAGCCUUAAAAACCGCUAUCACAUCUAAGGAAGGCAGCAGGCGCGCAAAUUACCCAAUAUCAAUUCGAUGAGGUAGUGACAAGACGUAAUGACCUCCCACUUUUAUGAGGGUUAUCCGCAAGGAUAUUACAAUGGUCUGAAAUUAAAAUUCUCAGAGAGAAACGACUAGAGGAAAAGUCUGGUGCCAGCACCCGCGGUAAUUCCAGCUCUAGUAGUAUAUAUUAAUGUUGUUGUAUUUAAAACGUUCGUAGUUUACUUAAGUUAUUUUUUGUUAUUGUCGGUUUAUUAACUCUACUU